UAUCCGUAGGUGGACCUGCGGAAGGAUCAUUACAGUGUUCCCUGCCCUUCGGUGUAGGAUCGCCACCCUUGAUUAUUUAUGAGUGUUGCUUUGGCGGGCCUCGCGGCCUGGCCGCGCCCCGGCUUCGGCGGGGAAGCGCCCGCCAGAGGAUUCUACAAACCUGAUUAUUAGUGUCGUCUGAGUACUAUAUAAUAGUUAAAACUUUCAACAACGGAUCUCUUGGUUCUG
Molecule: unclassified non-coding RNA, 228 nt
Filed under: plant metagenome
Description: partial contains small subunit ribosomal RNA, internal transcribed spacer 1, and 5.8S ribosomal RNA
Source: RNAcentral